This 1912-nucleotide long non-coding RNA is filed under the name Lynx canadensis (Canada lynx). RNAcentral's name for it is "lncRNA (ENSLCNG00005015670.1)". The record is from RNAcentral. Lineage: Eukaryota; Metazoa; Chordata; Mammalia; Carnivora; Felidae.
GCGGCGGCCCCGGCCGCGCCAGGCACGACGCCAGGGCAGCCGGAGCUGUUCCUCUCAGUGACACGCAGCGCACUCGGGUGUUCGUGAGGGGAGUGAAUUUGGCGGUGCUGGUGGUGGGUGUUCUCUUCCUCCCGGACUGAACCCGCCCCAGGUUGGGUGGGCUGGGCUGAGGCCCCAAACCGCCACCUCCCUGGUGGGACUAAGAGUGUCCCUGUCCUGGGGCUGAAAGGCAGGGGUCACAACUCCCGACCCGGUGGUGGAACGGGCGAAGCGCCCUUACUAAAUGAGACCUUGCUCGACCUUCCUCCCGGUAAAGAGGACAAGGACAUUGCACUCUAGGAUGGGUAGCGAUUUUUCCUUCUGCAAAGGCUGAACAAACUCAUCUUUCUAUUUAGAGGGUGCAGCCUUGCCAAGGCCAGGCUGCUUCCCAGUCCACCUUGGAGCAACUCACCCUCUACCAGAGCCUGCUGAAGCGGUUCUAUUUAUACCACUGAUACAUGGGGAUACGCCUUUCAGAUUUUCUAGAAGGAUUUGGAUCUACUUAUGCAAGCUUUUCUGAGCCCGGAGUCUAUCGGUUUCAAAGACACGUGAAAAGCUAUGAAGAAAACCCAAGGGAAGGAAACCUCGGGAGCUGGGGCCCGAAAACACAGGGCCGGACAUCUGCUCUCCGCCCACGGUUGGGGCUGUUUAUUUUUUUUUUUUUUUUUUUUUUUUCAACGUUUAUUUAUUUUUGGGACAGAGAGAGACAGAGCAUGAACGGGGGAGGGGCAGAGAGAGAGGGAGACACAGAAUUGGAAACAGGCUCCAGGCUCCAAGCCAUCAGCCCAGAGCCUGACGCGGGGCUCGAACUCCCGGACCGCGAGAUCGUGACCUGGCUGAAGUCGGACGCUUAACCGACUGCGCCACCCAGGCGCCCCGGUUGGGGCUGUUUAAAUGGUCUCUUGACGGGUCACCACGGGGCCACCCAAUCCCAUCCUGGUCUUGUUGAGUUCUCAUUGGCCUAGGGAAUAGACCUAACCGGUGAGUGCAAAGGCCACCUCCAUACAUGUACGGUUUUGGGGAACACAGCAGUGCUCUGCUCGCGCCUAGUAAGCGGGUGGCUGCCCGCAGAGCCUUUUGAGAACUAUCGCCAAGUAAAGCUCAGCCACGGAGGGAAUGCUUGACAGAGAGCGUCGGCUUCUAAGUUUUCCCUGGCUCUUGACACUCUGACGGGGCCUUGGGCUGCCGCUCAGCUGUCUUCUCCACAGCCCUGUCCCCUCGGUUCCUCACUCAUCUGUGAGCCACCUUGCUGGGUCUCAGCCUCCCACUGUUAUUUCCUACUGAUUCAAAUACGAAUUCAUAGAAUGCCUUAUGUGCUUUCACGUGGCUCCCUCGGAUGCUUGUAACUAUUCUGAGGGAAAUAAGACCCGUACUAGUCAUGCCAUUCAAUGUUAAAACUCAGAAUAAGGCUCGGUGAGUCAGACCACAGGGCCCCCGGGAUCCCACCGCUGGGGCUUGGGCGACUCCCCCUCCCACCAGGAGCAGUUGGGGGUGGGACCCCUUUCUCCCUUCCUUCAAUCCUCCCCAACACUUGGUUUCGUUCCGGAAAUAUAAAAGAUCCUCAAGGGAUCUUUUCCAACAGGAGCCAAGGACAUCCAGAAAUGAAGUCACGGCUUCCGCCCUGGCCACCUCUGAGGGCCGUCACCUCUCGUUCUGCCCCCACUACCUCCUAAUAUCUGGCAUAAGAACCUGGUGAAAAAUCUGCACUUGGCAUUUCUGGGUAUGCCCCUCACCCCUUCUGAAUGGCUGUGUGGCCUUGGGCAGGUCAUUUCAAGAAAGACUGUAUUCUCAACUGAGGGUACUACCUACUCCUUAAGACCGACUUGGACAGAAGUGCCUGGGACAGAAGUGCUCAAUAAAUAGUACAAUAUCU